AGAGUUUGAUCCUGGCUCAGAUUGAACGCUGGCGGCAUGCCUUACACAUGCAAGUCGAACGGCAGCACGGGGGCAACCCUGGUGGCGAGUGGCGAACGGGUGAGUAAUGCAUCGGAACGUGCCCAGUAGUGGGGGAUAACUAGUCGAAAGAUUAGCUAAUACCGCAUACGACCUACGGGUGAAAGCGGGGGACCUUUACCGGCCUCGCGCUAUCGGAGCGGCCGAUGUCUGAUUAGCUAGUUGGCGGGGUAAAAGCCCACCAAGGCGACGAUCAGUAGCUGGUCUGAGAGGACGACCAGCCACACUGGGACUGAGACACGGCCCACACUCCUACGGGAGGCAGCAGUGGGGAAUUUUGGACAAUGGGCGCAAGCCUGAUCCAGCCAUGCCGCGUGCGAAAAAGAAGGCCUUCGGGUUGUAAACCGCUUUUGGCAGGAACGACACGGCGCGAGCGAAUAUCUCGCGUUAAUGACGGUACCUGCAGAAUAAGCACCGGCUAACUACGUGCCAGCAGCCGCGGUAAUACGUAGGGUGCAAGCGUUAAUCGGAAUUACUGGGCGUAAAGCGUACGCAGGCGGCUUUGCAAGACAGGUGUGAAAUCCCCGGGCCCUAACCUGAGAACUGCAUUUGUGACUGCAUGGCUAGAGUUGUCAGAGGGGGGGGUAGUACUCCCACGUGUA
RNAcentral lists this ribosomal RNA (680 nucleotides) under uncultured bacterium. RNAcentral's name for it is "bacterial SSU rRNA". It matches the Rfam family "Bacterial small subunit ribosomal RNA", at positions 8 to 677 of the family's 1533-position model. The record is from RNAcentral.